Molecule: long non-coding RNA, 1188 nt
Filed under: Homo sapiens (human)
Lineage: Eukaryota; Metazoa; Chordata; Mammalia; Primates; Hominidae
Description: PREDICTED lncRNA (TCONS_00265585)
Source: RNAcentral
UCACCAGGUAGGCAGAAUAGUCUUAUAUAGCCAUUUGUUGUCCAGGGCAAUUUUGCCUAUUAAGUCUGUUUCCUCCCAGUUAACCUUCCUUCCAUGAGCCUCUGAAGCUUGAUGUCUGAACUCAGGGAUGGUUUGGAAACCCCUACUUAGGCAGUCUUGGGUCUUCUCAAAUACUGCAGUCUAAUACCAUGUCCUGCCUGCUCUAAAACUGACUCCUGCUCCUUCCGUCUGUUUUUCCCAGUUUACAGAUCUGGCUUGUGUAUUCACUCUCUACAUGUCUAUGUAAGUAACCACAUUCGCAUUGGCUGAGAAGUCAUCACUUGCAAAAUAGUCUUUAUUGAGUUCAAGAGCCAACAUGCUCUCUGGUCCUUCUAAUCCAGCUGUUCUCAACCUUGGCUGCACAUGGAAUCACUGAGGGAGGCCUUGGUCUGCAGUAAAGCCUACACACCUCCCCAGGACUAAGUACGGAUUUCUGAGUAUAACCAUGGAAGAAGACCCUCGAAAGGGAACUGCUGAGUUAAAGGAAAUGUGCCAUUUAUACUUUGGCUAAAUGUUCCCACACUUUCAUUCCUGAAGUUGUGCCAAUUUAUGUUGGUAGAAACAAUGUAUUAGAGCACUUUCCCCAUCAUCAUAAAUACAGUGACUUGGAAGCUAAGGCCCAGAGAGGAGGAGAAACUUGAUCAAAGUCAAUCAGACAAUGCAGAAUCGAGAAAAGUACCUGGACCUCUAUGCCCAUGCUUCUAGCAGCCAGCCUCCUAAAAUACCUCUAGUUGAAGCCAAAGUUAGAAUCCUUCUACGAAACUACAGGAUUAAAAUGGAAUGGUUACAUGACCCAGGCUUGACCAAUCAGAUCAUCCAAACCCUUUGCCACAGUGAUUGGUCCAGGGAUACAUGCAUGAGCCAGCUCAGUACGCAAGGCCCAAACAAUUGGUGAUAAUGAAGAAACUCUACUACCAGACGUUGCGGGAUGCCUCAAUGACCUAAUCCAGUAAAUCACAGCUCCAGCUGUCCAUGAGCUCUGUCUACCAUCUGAGGAAUUGUUUCUUUUUAAUACAAAGACUGGCACUCAUCAGAUAAUAAUUUCUGGGAUAGAAGCAAAGUAUUGGUAUUUCUUUAAGUCUCUUGAAGGUGAUUCUACUGAGCUGGGAUUAAGAACACACUGCCUUAAUCCUUUCAUCAUCAACAAAA